Molecule: ribosomal RNA, 783 nt
Filed under: uncultured bacterium
Lineage: Bacteria
Description: bacterial SSU rRNA
Rfam family: Bacterial small subunit ribosomal RNA
Source: RNAcentral
AAAGAAUACCAAUUGCGAAGGCAGCUUUCUGGAUCAUUACUGACACUGAGGAACGAAAGCAUGGGUAGCGAAGAGGAUUAGAUACCCUCGUAGUCCAUGCCGUAAACGAUGUGUGCUAGACGUUGGAAAUUUAUUUUCAGUGUCGCAGGGAAACCGAUAAACACACCGCCUGGGGAGUACGACCGCAAGGUUAAAACUCAAAUGAAUUGACGGGGACCCGCACAAGUAGUGGAGCAUGUGGUUUAAUUCGAAGAUACGCGCAGAACCUUACCAACACUUGACAUGUUCGUCGCGACUCUAAGAGAUUAGAGUUUUCGGUUCGGCCGGACGAAACACAGGUGCUGCAUGGCUGUCGUCAGCUCGUGUCGUGAGAUGUUGGGUUAAGUCCCGCAACGAGCGCAACCCUCACUUUUAGUUGCCAUCAUUAAGUUGGGCACUCUGAAAGAACUGCCAGUGAUAAGCUGGAGGAAGGUGGGGAUGACGUCAAGUCCUCAUGGCCCUUACGGGUUGGGCUACACACGUGCUACAAUGGCAGUGACAAUGGGUUAAUCCCCAAAAGCUGUCUCAGUUCGGAUUGGGGUCUGCAACUCGACCCCAUGAAGUCGGAAUCGCUAGUAAUCGCGUAACAGCAUGACGCGGUGAAUACGUUCCCGGGCCUUGUACACACCGCCCGUCACACCAUGGGAGUUGGUUCUACCCGACGACGCUGCGCUAACCCUUCGGGGAGGCAGGCGGCCACGGUAGGAUCAGCGACUGGGGUGAAGUCGUAACAAGGUAACCGUA